AUAAGCAAGAAGAGGAUGCAUGUAAAAGGGCAUUAGUUUUGAUAGUAUUGUAAAAUUUAGAAGUUUUCUUAUAAAUAGCAAUGCUAUCAAAACUAAUGCCUUUUACAUGCAUCCUCUUCUUGCUUAUGAUACACUACUGUGGUAACAGCAAGCCAAAAGCUAUCUUUCCUCAUUUCUUAUUUUCAAUGUCUUAGUGGAGUUAAGAGAAAAAUCCUGGCAUGUCAAAUGGAAAGUUUGGAUCCAAUUCCAGUGACUGAAGAGAGAAGUCGGGCUCCACAAUUGGAGAAUUGGCAGCAGAGGUAGUGGCGGAAAUGAUAUCAGUGAAAUCAGAUUCGUAACGGUGCUGCAAAUUUUGAACUCCUACAAAAUUGUUCAUCUGGAAUGGUGAGACAUAGUAGUUUGGUUCAGGGGUGGUUGGAGAUAUGAAAGAUGGAGAAUAAGUGCCUGAACUUUCCAUACUUCCAUAUCUAGGUGGAAAAGAGAAAGGAAAUGCAAUCUCUGUGUUGUCUAUGUCCUCAGUAUUAACCCUCAGGCCCUUUUGAAAGUUAAAGAGGGCUUCUUGUGAUUGUAGUUGUUGAUUAAUGUUUUGUUUAUGUACUUGUUUUUCUGGUGAUGCUGGCUGUUGAACAGAUUUUUGGCCAUGAGAACAAGUGUGUAGUCCUCUGUAUGUGACAUCAAAUAUGGUGGGAUCUUCAUCUGAUCUUUGCACUUGCUUUGUAGC
Molecule: unclassified non-coding RNA, 721 nt
Filed under: Hevea brasiliensis (rubber tree)
Lineage: Eukaryota; Viridiplantae; Streptophyta; Magnoliopsida; Malpighiales; Euphorbiaceae
Source: RNAcentral